Molecule: signal recognition particle RNA, 99 nt
Filed under: Sphingopyxis indica
Lineage: Bacteria; Pseudomonadati; Pseudomonadota; Alphaproteobacteria; Sphingomonadales; Sphingopyxidaceae
Description: Bacterial small signal recognition particle RNA
Rfam family: Bacterial small signal recognition particle RNA
About the family: The signal recognition particle (SRP) is a universally conserved ribonucleoprotein involved in the co-translational targeting of proteins to membranes. Archaeal SRP consists of a 7S RNA and homologues of the eukaryotic SRP19 and SRP54 proteins.
Source: RNAcentral
GCCGGGAGUCGGGCGGACGCAGUCUUCGCCAACCCGGUCAGGUCCGGAAGGAAGCAGCCGCAACGAAUUCGCUGCGGGUCGUUCCGGCUCCCACCCAUU